GCUACGGGUGGCUGCAGUGAGGAAUAUUGGUCAAUGGCCGGAAGGCUGAACCAGCCAAGCCGCGUGAAGGACGACGGCGCCAAGCAUUGUAAACUUCUUUUGUCAAGGGACAAAACCCGGCACGAGAGCCUGACCGCGUGUACUUGAAGAAAAAGCAUCGGCUAACUCCGUGCCAGCAGCCGCGGUAAUACGGAGGAUGCGAGCGUUAUCCGGAUUUAUUGGGUUUAAAGGGUGCGUAGGCGGACCGUUAAGUCAGCGGUAAAAGGGCGGGGCUCAACCCCGGCGAGCCGUUGAAACUGGCUGUCUUGAGAUGGCGAGAGGUAUGCGGAAUGCGCGGUGUAGCGGUGAAAUGCUUAGAUAUUGCGCAGAACUCCGAUUGCGAAGGCAGUAUACCGGCGGCGGUCUGACGCUGAGGCACGAAAGCGUGGGGAUCGAACAGGAUUAGAUACUCUGGUAGUC
Molecule: ribosomal RNA, 459 nt
Filed under: uncultured bacterium
Lineage: Bacteria
Description: partial 16S ribosomal RNA
Rfam family: Bacterial small subunit ribosomal RNA
Source: RNAcentral